GAUGAACGCUGGCGGCGUGCCUAAUACAUGCAAGUCGAGCGAACGGACGAGAAGCUUGCUUCUCUGAUGUUAGCGGCGGACGGGUGAGUAACACGUGGAUAACCUACCUAUAAGACUGGGAUAACUUCGGGAAACCGGAGCUAAUACCGGAUAAUAUUUUGAACCGCAUGGUUCAAAAGUGAAAGACGGUCUUGCUGUCACUUAUAGAUGGAUCCGCGCUGCAUUAGCUAGUUGGUAAGGUAACGGCUUACCAGGGCAACGAUGCAUAGCCGACCUGAGAGAGUGAUCGGCCACACUGGAGCUGGGACACGGUCCAGAGUCCUACGGGAGGCAGCAGUAGGGAAUCUGCCGCAAUGGGCGAAAGCCUUACGGAGCAACGCCGCGUGAGUGAUGGAGGUCUUCGGAUCGUAAAACUCUGUUAUUAGUGAAGAACAUAUGUGUAAGUAACUGUGCACAUCUUGACGGUACCUAAUCAGAAAGCCACGGCUAACUACGUG
Molecule: ribosomal RNA, 497 nt
Filed under: uncultured bacterium
Lineage: Bacteria
Description: partial 16S ribosomal RNA
Rfam family: Bacterial small subunit ribosomal RNA
Source: RNAcentral